This 326-nucleotide ribosomal RNA is filed under the name uncultured eukaryote. RNAcentral's name for it is "partial 18S ribosomal RNA". It matches the Rfam family "Eukaryotic small subunit ribosomal RNA", at positions 1470 to 1796 of the family's 1831-position model. The record is from RNAcentral.
CCCUUAGAUGUUCUGGGCCGCACGCGCGCUACACUGAUGAAUUCAACGAGCACUAACCUGUGCAGAAAUGUUCGGGUAAUCUUGUGAAAUUUCAUCGUGAUGGGGAUUGAUUAUUGCAAUUAUUAAUCAUAAACGAGGAAUGCCUAGUAAGCGUGAGUCAUCAGCUCACGUUGAUUACGUCCCUGCCCUUUGUACACACCGCCCGUCGCUCCUACCGAUUGAAUGUGCUGGUGAAAAGUUCGGAUUGGGAAUAGGAGACGGCAACGUAUCCUGUUUCUGAGAAAAUCUUUAAACCCUCCCAUUUAGAGGAAGGAGAANUCGUAACA